RNAcentral lists this ribosomal RNA (499 nucleotides) under uncultured bacterium. RNAcentral describes it as "partial 16S ribosomal RNA". It matches the Rfam family "Bacterial small subunit ribosomal RNA", at positions 899 to 1397 of the family's 1533-position model. The record is from RNAcentral.
ACUCAAAUGAAUAGACGGGGGCCCGCACAAGCGGUGGAUCAUGUGGUUUAAUUCGAAGCAACGCGAAAAACCUUACCUGGGUUUGAAAUCCCACGAAGAUCGCAGAAAUGUGAUUGUGUCCUUCGGGAAACGUGGUGACAGGUGCUGCAUGGCUGUCGUCAGCUCGUGUUGUGAAAUGUUGGGUUAAGUCUCGCAACGAGCGCAACCCCUAUCCUUUGUUGCCAGCAUUAAGUUGGGCACUCUGAGGAGACUGCCGGUGUUAAGCCGGAGGAAGGUGGGGAUGACGUCAAGUCCUCAUGGCCCUUAUGUCCAGGGCUACACACGUGAUACAAUGGUAGAUACAAAGGGAAGCAAGCAUGUGAGUGCAAGCCAAUCUCAAAAAGUCUAUCUCAGUCCGGAUUGAAGUCUGCAACUCGACUUCAUGAAGUUGGAAUCGCUAGUAAUCGCGGAUCAGCACGCCGCGGUGAAUACGUUCCCGGGCCUUGCACACACCGCCCGU